UUACUGUUUGGGUUAGGGUUAGAGAUAUGUUUAGGGUUAUUAUUAGUUUUAGGGUUAGUGUUAGUGUCAGGGUUAGUGUUAGUGUUAGGGUUAGGGUUAGCGUUAGGGUUAGGGUAAAGUUAGUGUUAGAUUUGAGUUGUGGUUAGGAUUAGGGUUAGUGUUACGGUUAGGGUUAGAUUUAGGUUUAGUGUUAUUGUAAGGGUUAGGGUUAGGGUUCGGGUUAGUGAUUGGGUUAGGGUUAAGGUUCGGUUAGGGUUUGUGUUAGGGUAAGGGUUAGGGAUAGGAUUUGUGUUAGGGUUACGAUUGGAUUAUGGCUACAGUUAGGGAUAGAGUUAUUAGGAUUAGGUUAAUGUCAGGGUUAAGGGUAGGGUUAGGGUAAGUGUUAGGGUUAGGGUUACAAUUAGGUUUAAUGUUCCUGUUAGGGUUAAAAGUAGUUUUAGUGUUAAAGUUAGUGUUAGUGUUAUGUUUAGAGUUAGGGUAAGAUUAGGGUUAGUGAUAGGGUAAGGGUUAGGUUUAGGUUUAGUAUUAGGUAAGAGUUAAGGUUACUCUUAGGGUACAGGUUAUGGUAGGUUUAGGAUUAGCUUUAGAAUUUGGGUGAGCAUCAGGUUUAGGGAUCAGGUUACGGUUAGGCUUAGGGUUAGUUUUAGAAUUAGGGUGAGGAUCACGGUUAGCGAUCAUGAUAGGGUUAGGUUAAGGUUUAGUUUUAAAAUUAGGGUGAGGAUCAGGGUUAGUGAUCAGGUUACGGUAAGAGUUAGUUUAAGAGUUAGGAUUAGGAUUAAGUUUAGGGUUAGUGUUAGGGUUAAUGUUAGGGUUAGAGUUAUGGAUCAUGUUCGGUUGAGGGUUAGGGUUAGGGUUACGGUUGGAUUAGGGUUAGAGUUAGGGUUAGGGUUAAUGUUAAAGUUAGGGUUAUUAUUAGGUUUAGGGUUAGGGUUACAGUUAGGGUGAGUGAUAGGGUUAGGGUUAGGUUUAGUUUUAGUAUUAGGUAAGAGUUAGGGUUAUUGUUAGGUUACAGAUUAGGGUUAGGUUUAGGUUUAGUUUUAGAAUUAGGGUGAGGAUCAAGGUUAGGGAUCGGGUUAGGGUUAGGGUUAGUUUAAGAGUUAGGAUUAGGGUUAGGGUUAGGGCUAGGGUUAGUGUUACGGUUAGGGUUAUGGCUUAUGUUAUGUUAGGGUUAGGUUUAGGGUUUGGGUUAGGUUAGGAUUAGGAUUAGUGAUAAGUUUAGGAUUAGUUAUAGGUUUAGGAUAUGUUAUAGGUUUGGGGUUAGUUUUAGGGUUAGGGUUGGGGUUAGUGUUACGGUUAGAGUUAGGGUUAGGGUUAGGAAUAGGGUUAGGAUUAUUGUUAGUGAUAGGGUUAGGGUUAGGGUUAGUUUAGGGUUAAAUAUAGGGUUAGGCUAAGUGUUAGGAUUAGGGUUAGGGUAGGUAUUAGGUUUAGUUUUAGUGUUAGGGUUAGUGUUAGGAUUAGGUUUAGGGUUAAUUAUGGGGUUAGGGUUCGUGUAAGUUUUAUUGUUCAUUUUAGGGUUUGGGUUAGGGUGUGGGAUAGGAUUAGGGUUAUGUUUAGGGUUAGGGUUAGUGUUAGAUUUAGGUUUAGGGUUAAGGAUAGUGUUAGUGUUACAUUUAGAGUUAGGUUUAGGGUUAGUGUUAGGGUGAGAAUUAGGGUUAGGUUUAGGGUUAAGGUUAGUGUUAGGGUUUGGGUUCGUGUUGUGAUUAUCGUUAGGGUUAAUGUUAGUGUUAGGUUUAGGCUUAGGGUUAGGGUUAGUUUUAUGUUUAAGUUUAGUAUUGGUUUAGGGUUAGUGUUAGGGAUAGGGUUAGGUUUAGGGUAGUGUUACAGUUAGGUUUAGGGUUAAGGUUAAGGUUAGUGUUAGGUUUUGGAUUAGGGUUAGGAUUAGUGUAGGGUAAGGGUUAGGGUUAGGGUUAUGUAAGAGUUAGGGUUUAGGUUAGGUUAGGGUUAGGGUUGUGGUUUGAGUUAUGAUUAGUUUAAAGGCUAUGGUUAGGGUUAGGGUUUGUGUUAGGUUUAGGGUUAGUUUGGUGGUUUGUGUUAGGGUUACUGUUAUGGUAAGUGUUAGGGAUAGGUUUAGUGUUAUGUUUAGGUGUAAGUUUAGGUUUAGGGUUAGGGUUAGGUUUAUGAUUAAUAUUUUGCUUAGGUUUAGAGUUAGGUUUAGGGUUUGUGUUAGGGUUAGGUUUAGAGAUAGUGUUAGGGAUAGGAUUAGGGUUAGAGUGAGGUGUCAGGUUAGGGUUAGUGUUAGGAUUAGGAUUAGUGUUAGGGUUAUGGUUAGGAUUAGAGUUAGAUUUAGAGUUAUGGUUAGGGCUAGUGUUAGGUUUAGAGUUAGGAUUAGUGUUAGUGUUUCGGUUAUGGUUAGGUAUAUGUUUAGGGUUAGUGUUAGGGUUAGGGUUAAUUUUACAUUUAGGGUUAGGAUAAGGGUAAGGAUUAAGGUUAGUGUUAUUGAAAGAUUUAGGAUUAGUUAUAGGUUUGGGGUUAUUGUUAGGGUUAGGGUUAGGGUUAUGUUUACAGUUAAAGUUAGGGUUAGUGUUGGGAUAGUGUUAGGUUUAAAGUUAGUGUUACAAUAAGGGUUAGAGUUAUUGUUAGGGGCAGUGUUAGGGUUUCAUUUAGGGUUAGAGUUUGGUUUAGGUUUAGGGUUAAAGUUGGUGUUAGGGUUUGGAUUAGGGUUAGUUUUUUAGUUAUGGUUAGGGUUAGUGUCAGAAUUAUGGUUAGGGUUAGGAUUAGGAAUAAUGUUAGGGUGAGUGUUAGGGGAAGGUUUAAGGUUUGUUUUAGGGUUAGCAUUAGGGUUAGGAUUUGUUUUAUGGUUAGUUUUAGGAUUAUGGUUGGAUUAUGGUUAGAGUUAGGGUUAGGGUUAGGGUUAGUGUCAGGUUUAAGCAUAGGGUU
This 2877-nucleotide long non-coding RNA is filed under the name Marmota monax (woodchuck). Lineage: Eukaryota; Metazoa; Chordata; Mammalia; Rodentia; Sciuridae. The record is from RNAcentral.